This is a small nucleolar RNA of Psammomys obesus (fat sand rat), 136 nucleotides long. RefSeq annotates it as small nucleolar RNA SNORA17. The record is from RefSeq and is a predicted model, not a curated record. The transcript has a single exon. NCBI's taxonomy places the organism in Eukaryota, Metazoa, Chordata, Mammalia, Rodentia, Muridae.
CCUGCCCCUAGAGGCAUUGCAGGAGUCACUGCUGAAUCACAUCCAUGUGUGCCAAUAGGUGGAAGAGAGGAGAGAGGCUAUGUCUACACUCAGUAUUCUGAGCUGUGACUAGCUGAAUGACUGGUAACCUAACACU